This is a long non-coding RNA of Erigeron canadensis, 391 nucleotides long. RefSeq lists it as uncharacterized. Lineage: Eukaryota; Viridiplantae; Streptophyta; Magnoliopsida; Asterales; Asteraceae. The record is from RefSeq and is a predicted model, not a curated record. The transcript is spliced from 3 exons.
UUAAUUUGUCGUAUUCAGCAGAAGACGAGACUAAAAGACAGAGACCUGUGAUGAUACACCGGGAUAUAUUAGGAUCAGUUGUACGCAUGUUCGAUAUACUAAUGGAGCAUUAUAAGUGGAAAUGGCCAUAUUGGCCUGGCUUAGUCCCUGUCAAGCAAUGGUCCGCCCUGUAUCUGACAAGUCCCAAGCUUAUGGCCGGACAGCGGGAGGCAGAGUUUAAAAGAUACACCGUCGUCAAAGAACACAGGAGGAAGUAACACAUACCAGGAGUGAACAUUGUGGUGGUAUGAUCACAGCAGAUGGCUAAGAGCCACGGUCUAUGGUGCACUUGUUAUCUAUCCUACUUUUGGUUCUUUAUAUCCCUUUCUACAACCCAAAGUCGAGUUUUCUG